Hippocampus zosterae (dwarf seahorse) is the source of this 492-nucleotide long non-coding RNA. RefSeq lists it as uncharacterized. The record is from RefSeq and is a predicted model, not a curated record. Lineage: Eukaryota; Metazoa; Chordata; Actinopteri; Syngnathiformes; Syngnathidae. The transcript is spliced from 2 exons.
UUAAUAAACUCGUAAACACAAAAUCAGUCUAAAUUGAGAAAUCCGUCUACUCAAAAAUGUAGCCGAAAUUGUUGACAUUUUCUUCCUGGCACAUUGGGAAUAUUUAGGAAGUCGAAUUAACAAGGAUUAAAUUUGUUUUGUUUUUUUUGAUGGUGGACAAAUGAGAAUGACAAAAGGGCUUCAUUAGACUCAGGUGACAAUUUGUUGAAUGUGGUCCCUACGUCUUUGUGUUUCCAACGAUAACAGAGGAGGGAGUCCUUCGAAGCCACAGAACGUGCCUAACGGCAGAGGAAAAACGACAGGGAUGCUCGUCGCUGGCCGCAUGGCGCUUCGCUGGCAGGUCUUCCGCAAACAUUCCUCCCCUCCCGAUCGUGUCAUUCCCGCAGCCGGCCUCCCUGCCCGGGAGAGUGAGGGGCUUCUGGACGGUUGGGGUGGCCCACCACAGCCACUAAGCUGGUCCCGAGCUCUGUGCUUUUACAAGUCUAGCUCCCC